UCAUAAAGGAAAAAGUGAGCAUUUUUUUUAACCUAAGUUUUAGCUUCUUUAUUACAUUUUUAGAUUGUACUCAUUCAAGAACUCUUCCAGAUGAACUCCUUGAAGCAGUGAGCCUCUCCAACAAGGCUGAUCUUGGUGAUACUGCAGUGAAGCUCUCUAUACUCUGAAGCUGAAGAGAACUAAGCUCCUGCUUGGGGACAAAGUCAGUACCAAAAUUCCUGCUGAUUUCAGAGCAAGAAGUGGAGUUUAUGAACAACAAAGCCCAGUCUAAAGCAAACCUGAAUGACUAUUAUUUGCAGCACAGUCUGAGGUAAAGCAUUCAACAGAGGCAUGGUGAAAGUUUCCCAGUAUGAAUACCGGGAAGGUUAUUGAUUAGGCUGCAGCUUAUAUGCUUUCUGCUGUGGAGUGGAUUUGAUUUCAAAAUAGCUGUAAGUGGAUGAUAAGAAUCCUGGGUUUUCAGUGCCACUUAAGCUACGAGGAAGAAGUGGAAGUCUGUUAUAACUUGCACCAUGCACGUAAAUUGACUGUUGUUCCUCUGUGCCUUGUCCUGGAGCCUUUCCUCUUCCCUGGAUUCUUGUUCACAUUCUGUGUCCAGGCUCUCUGUGAGGCUGGCCUCCUCCCUGCACCUCCAGUCACGGAAAAGGAUGAGGCUGAUGGUACCUUCAGGGUGACCUGUGGAUGAGAUAAUCCCUGCAGAAGCAAGUAAGCAGACAUCUUUAAGGCUUUGUAGAAAAAAAAGAAAAAGUUU
This 748-nucleotide long non-coding RNA is filed under the name Dromaius novaehollandiae (emu). RNAcentral describes it as "lncRNA (ENSDNVG00000007392.1)". The record is from RNAcentral. Lineage: Eukaryota; Metazoa; Chordata; Aves; Casuariiformes; Dromaiidae.